AUGUUCACGGAGAACCAUGUGACCACUGUUGAUGCACGAUUCAUCGGUAUUGCACGAGAGAUAGCUGACGCACGUUGCCCUGCGGAUAUUGUCCAGAGGAGUUUUGGUUCUGCCGUGUUAGCAGCUACGUAUAGAGGCUUGUGCAAAGGUUGCUUAUUGAAGUCUAGAAAGUCAGGUCUGGUUGGAUGUCCACUAUUGUUGCAGCUCUGGUCUUACGAGAGAUUCCCUAUUGGACGACCCUAUGUCUCCAUUGACACACCGUUUGGGUUGGAGGACAUGGCAGGGGCUUACGUGCCUGCUAUCGGCGACUUGCCUACUAUGGGAUCUGUUUGGGCACGGAGAGAGAGACAGUUUGCACAUACCCAGGUGAAGGGCUGCUACCCGUUCUUCACGGUGCAGUUUGAUAGUUUGCACGAGGAUCAAGUUAUCUGGGAGCCCUACUUGUAUCAGACUAUAACAUCUAGGUAUCCAGUUGGGAUCUCUGCCUUAUGCACUAGAGAUCGGCACUACUGGAUGACCAAGGCAAAGUUGGUGUUCGACGUGACGGUUGAGGAGAUGGCUCUUCAUAGGGUGAUGAGACAGUUUGGUCUAUGUCAAGAGCCUGCAAUUCCAGAUAUUCCAUGGAUACCAGACCACGUUCACAAGUACAGUCGCGUAGGAGGAAACAAGUCCAUGGCUGUUUGGCUUCAGAGCAUUAGCCCUUACGUUCAAGAAUGGACUAUGGCACCGACAAAUAUCUGGAAUGAGGUUGGACCCUUUGACUGGGACAAGUUUGGGUUGUAUUUACAAACUUACCGGCAUACAACGAGGAUCUACUUGGUUCCAUCAGCUGCUCCUGAUCAGAUUAAAGCCCCUCUGACCAGCGAUAUGUACCCAACUACCUCUGUUGUGGGAACGAGACACCACGCGAGUGACUUGACAGUCCAGGCGCGAGAGGAGGUUUCCGCUUUAAUGCGGCAGGUUGAGAGGGGGGAUACUAUCCCACAGCCAGAGCAUCUCUCAUGGUUGAGGCGUAUGGAUGAGAAGUUAAGAGGGAUUUACGCAUCACUUACAUGUAGACGAUCUACGGAUGUUGUCAUUCCUCGUCCCGCACAUCGGCCCCCACGUCCCUCUGUCCAUCGUUCAGAACCACGACACUCUGUGCAGCGUUCAGAACCACGACACUCCGUGCAGCAACCACGCCUCUCUGUGCAUCAACCAUCUCCUUCACAACUAGGGAGCUCUUCCUGGAAUUAG
This 1236-nucleotide ribosomal RNA is filed under the name Triticum aestivum (bread wheat). RNAcentral describes it as "partial small subunit ribosomal RNA". The record is from RNAcentral. Lineage: Eukaryota; Viridiplantae; Streptophyta; Magnoliopsida; Poales; Poaceae.